CACGUAGGGCGCAAGCGUUGUCCGGAAUUAUUGGGCGUAAAGAGCUCGUAGGCGGCUUGUCGCGUCGUCCGUGAAAACUUGGGGCUCAACCCCAAGCUUGCGGUCGAUACGGGCAGGCUAGAGUUCGGUAGGGGAGACUGGAAUUCCUGGUGUAGCGGUGAAAUGCGCAGAUAUCAGGAGGAACACCGGUGGCGAAGGCGGGUCUCUGGGCCGAUACUGACGCUGAGGAGCGAAAGCGUGGGGAGCGAACAGG
This 253-nucleotide ribosomal RNA is filed under the name uncultured bacterium. RNAcentral's name for it is "partial 16S ribosomal RNA". It matches the Rfam family "Bacterial small subunit ribosomal RNA", at positions 524 to 776 of the family's 1533-position model. The record is from RNAcentral.